AGAGUUUGAUCAUGGCUCAGAUUGAACGUUGGCGGCAGGCUUUAGACAUGCAAGUCGAGCGGAAACGAUACCUUCGGGUAGGCGUCGAGCGGCGGACGGGUGAGUAACGCGUAGGAAUCUACCCAGUAGCGGGGGAUAGCCCGGGGAAACUCGGAUUAAUACCGCAUACGCCCUAUGGGGGAAAGAUGGCCUCUUCUUGAAAGCUAUCGCUAUUGGAGGAGCCUGCGUUGGAUUAGCUAGUUGGUGGGGUAAAGGCCUACCAAGGCGACGAUCCAUAGCUGGUCUGAGAGGACGAUCAGCCACACUGGGACUGAGACACGGCCCAGACUCCUACGGGAGGCAGCAGUCGGGAAUAUUGGACAAUGGGCGCAAGCCUGAUCCAGCCAUGCCGCGUGUGUGAAGAAGGCCUUAGGGUUGUAAAGCACUUUCAGAAGUGAAGAAAGGCGUUGGGUGAAUAAUCUGACGUUUUGACGUUAGCUUCAGAAGAAGCACCGGCUAACUCCGUGCCAGCAGCCGCGGUAAUACGGAGGGUGCGAACGUUAAUCGGAAUUACUGGGCGUAAAGCGCGCGUAGGC
RNAcentral lists this ribosomal RNA (575 nucleotides) under uncultured Gammaproteobacteria bacterium. RNAcentral describes it as "bacterial SSU rRNA". It matches the Rfam family "Bacterial small subunit ribosomal RNA", at positions 8 to 576 of the family's 1533-position model. The record is from RNAcentral. Lineage: Bacteria; Pseudomonadati; Pseudomonadota; Gammaproteobacteria.